UGUCCAAUUAUCUGAGGAACCACUAGA
Molecule: non-coding RNA, 27 nt
Filed under: Mus musculus (house mouse)
Lineage: Eukaryota; Metazoa; Chordata; Mammalia; Rodentia; Muridae
Source: RNAcentral